AGCAGCAGCCGCGGUAAUACGUAGGUGGCAAGCGUUGUCCGGAAUUAUUGGGCGUAAAGCGCGCGCAGGUGGUUUAAUAAGUCUGAUGUGAAAGCCCACGGCUCAACCGUGGAGGGUCAUUGGAAACUGUUUAACUUGAGUGCAGAAGAGGAGAGUGGAAUUCCAUGUGUAGCGGUGAAAUGCGUAGAGAUUAGGAGGAACACCAGUGGCGAAGGCGGCUUUUUGGCCUGUAACUGACACUGAGGCGCGAAAGCGUGGGGAGCAAACAGGAUUAGAGACCCCGGUAGUCCCUGUCUCUUAUAC
Molecule: ribosomal RNA, 303 nt
Filed under: uncultured bacterium
Lineage: Bacteria
Description: partial 16S ribosomal RNA
Rfam family: Bacterial small subunit ribosomal RNA
Source: RNAcentral